UAAUACGUCGUUGGUGUUUCCAU
RNAcentral lists this microRNA (23 nucleotides) under Caenorhabditis elegans. RNAcentral's name for it is "cel-miR-70-3p". Its record names the gene cel-miR-70-3p. The record is from miRBase by way of RNAcentral. Lineage: Eukaryota; Metazoa; Nematoda; Chromadorea; Rhabditida; Rhabditidae.